RNAcentral lists this unclassified non-coding RNA (329 nucleotides) under soil metagenome. Its description in RNAcentral is "partial contains 5.8S ribosomal RNA, internal transcribed spacer 2, and large subunit ribosomal RNA". The stretch from base 1 to 120 matches the Rfam family "5.8S ribosomal RNA", at positions 35 to 154 of the family's 154-position model. The record is from RNAcentral.
GAUGAAGAACGUAGCGAAAUGCGAUAAGUAAUGUGAAUUGCAGAAUUCAGUGAAUCAUCGAAUCUUUGAACGCACAUUGCGCCCCUUGGUAUUCCGAGGGGCAUGCCUGUUCGAGCGUCAUUAUAACCCCUCAAGCUUAGCUUGGUGUUGGGGCCUGCUGUAAUAGAGCAGCCCUUAAAAUCAGUGGCGGUGCCAUUAGGCUCUAAGCGUAGUAAUUCUUCUCGCUAUAGGGUUCUGGUGGAUGCUUGCCAUUAACCUCUAAUUUUCUAUGGUUGACCUCGGAUCAGGUAGGGAUACCCGCUGAACUUAAGCAUAUCAAUAAGGGAGGA